GUUCAUAUACAUUGGACGUCAUAUUCUAAUUGACAGACUCGGGCAAGGGUUUCCCUCAGCUGAAUAAAAUCGCCAGAAUAAAAUAACUAAGUGGGUCGCUACCCUUUAAAGGGUUAAUGAAAUGUAGUAUAGGCCUACGUGUCAAAAAAAAAAUAUGAAUUGUGGAUUACAAAGGAGUGUUUACAACCGAGGCAAACGGUGUCUCCUCUGUCGCCAUCUUUAGGCCGGUGGGUCAACUACACCUGAGGCUGCCCUACACACUUUUCUCUCAAUUUUAAUCAUAAAUACUGAGUCGUGUGGCUGCUAUGCGACACGAGCGUCAUCGACAGUGGAUCACAGGAGAACGGUCUAGUGAAAACCACUAUGCUCCUGCUGCUAGAACUGACUCGUAUUAAACAUGUGUUAUGUAGAAGAUGUCUCCAUUAUAUUUCAAUCUCGGUAAAAGUCGCAGAUUUAAAUUUCAUAUCAGUUAGGGACAUGAUGAUUUAAAACACUAGUUUUAUGUAAAUAGAGAGAUGAUUAUUAUUUUCAUGUCCUUUGUAAUGUCUGCAAAUCCAUCAUUUACUUCAUAAAUACAGUCUGCUCAACACUCCUGGUGUCAUUAAUUAAGGAAUGGCUGUUACUAAACUGCACUUCAGUUGUGAGUAUUGGAAUUAACACCAUCCUACCUGAUCUUUUGUGCUGGAUGUAUAUAUAUUGGAGUUAUUAAUAAAAAGAAAAUAAAUUA
This is a long non-coding RNA of Homarus americanus (American lobster), 727 nucleotides long. RefSeq lists it as uncharacterized. The transcript has 2 exons. NCBI's taxonomy places the organism in Eukaryota, Metazoa, Arthropoda, Malacostraca, Decapoda, Nephropidae. The record is from RefSeq and is a predicted model, not a curated record.